UACGUAGGGUGCGAGCGUUGUCCGGAAUUAUUGGGCGUAAAGGGCUCGUAGGCGGUUUGUCACGUCGAAAGUGAAAACUCGAGGGCUUAACCCUGAGCCUGCUUCCGAUACGGGCAGACUAGAGGUAUGCAGGGGAGAAUGGAAUUCCUGGUGUAGCGGUGAAAUGCGCAGAUAUCAGGAGGAACACCAGUGGCGAAGGCGGUUCUCUGGGCAUUACCUGACGCUGAGGAGCGAAAGUGUGGGGAGCGAACAGG
Molecule: ribosomal RNA, 254 nt
Filed under: uncultured bacterium
Lineage: Bacteria
Description: partial 16S ribosomal RNA
Rfam family: Bacterial small subunit ribosomal RNA
Source: RNAcentral